UGCGGUCACAAAACGCAACGCUUUUUGAACGUUGGCUCUGCCAACGGUAUCGUAAGGGAUGAACAAGCGAGCUUGUGAAGAAAA
This 84-nucleotide non-coding RNA is filed under the name Aggregatibacter aphrophilus. Its description in RNAcentral is "Aggregatibacter sRNA 22". It matches the Rfam family "Aggregatibacter sRNA 22". Lineage: Bacteria; Pseudomonadati; Pseudomonadota; Gammaproteobacteria; Pasteurellales; Pasteurellaceae. The record is from RNAcentral.